This 253-nucleotide ribosomal RNA is filed under the name uncultured bacterium. RNAcentral's name for it is "partial 16S ribosomal RNA". It matches the Rfam family "Bacterial small subunit ribosomal RNA", at positions 524 to 776 of the family's 1533-position model. The record is from RNAcentral.
UACGGAGGGAGCUAGCGUUGUUCGGAAAUACUGGGCGUAAAGCGCACGUAGGCGGCGCAGCAAGUCAGGGGUGAAAUCCCGGGGCUCAACCCCGGAACUGCCCUUGAAACUGCAGUGCUAGAAUCCUGGAGAGGCGAGUGGAAUUCCGAGUGUAGAGGUGAAAUUCGUAGAUAUUCGGAAGAACACCAGUGGCGAAGGCGACUCGCUGGACAGGUAUUGACGCUGAGACGCGAAAGCGUGGGGAGCGAACAGG